Molecule: ribosomal RNA, 600 nt
Filed under: uncultured bacterium
Lineage: Bacteria
Description: bacterial SSU rRNA
Rfam family: Bacterial small subunit ribosomal RNA
Source: RNAcentral
AGUACGGUCGCAAGAUUAAAACUCAAAGGAAUAGACGGGGACCCGCACAAGCGGUGGAGCAUGUGGUUUAAUUCGACGAUACACGAAGAACCUUACCUGGACUUGACAUAGUAAGAACUUUCUAGAGAUAGAUUGGUGUCUGCUUGCAGAAACUUAUAUACAGGUGCUGCACGGCUGUCGUCAGCUCGUGUCGUGAGAUGUUGGGUUAAGUCCCGCAACGAGCGCAACCCUCGUCAUUAGUUGCUAACAGUUCGGCUGAGAACUCUAAUGAGACUGCCUACGCAAGUAGGAGGAAGGUGAGGACGACGUCAAGUCAUCAUGGCCCUUACGUCCAGGGCUACACACGUGCUACAAUGGGGUAUACAAAGAGCAGCAAUACGGUGACGUGGAGCAAAUCUCAAAAAUAUCUCCCAGUUCGGAUUGUAGUCUGCAACUCGACUACAUGAAGUUGGAAUCGCUAGUAAUCGUAGAUCAGCUAUGCUACGGUGAAUACGUUCCCGGGUCUUGUACUCACCGCCCGUCACACCAUGGGAGUUGAACUCAUUCGAAGCGGGGAUGCUAAGAUAGCUACCUUCCACAGUGGAUUCAGCGACUGGGGUG